UCAGUCAAAGGGAUGACUUCAGCCUCUUUCUUAACUAAUCCUGUCACUGUAAAAUCCUACAGUCAUUCUUCCAACAUAAAGGGAAAACGGACUCACUAGGAGGACCUAGACUCUUUCAGCUUGAACUGUUAACCAAUGGUGGAAAUGCAAGAAUGCUGAAGUUGUGCCUUCAGAGCCAAUAGAGUGGAUUUGUGUGUCCCACAUGACUGUGUUUCCCCUGUCUUUCACAUGGGCAGUAUUUAGUUCAAUUCAGAACUGCAGAUAGUAUAGCGUGCAGAGCAGCAAUGGGAUGUCUGAGCACAAGUAGCUGACUUCCAGGCGACUUCAGGAAGCACAUUUAUACAUUUCUCCUGAAUUAUCUGGGAUUCUGCACCCUUGACAUUCUCCGACCCUCCUUGUCGCUGCAGAAGGAGACAGCGACCUGCACAGCACAACAAAACUACAAAUCACCACAGAGCUACAGACCAGCAAUGAAGAGAGCUGAGGGCAAUUUGACCAACAUCAUCUGUGUCAGUUCCCCAGAAGUCGAUGAAACACGUAAUCAGGUCUCCAAGACCACAAGACUCAGAAGAUCACUGUGGGCCAACCCACUCUGUUGACAUGACAAAGUACAGUUUGGUAUUCCUUUGGCCCUGAAGGAGUCUCACAUCAGAAGAACAGAAGAUUAGACUUCUACCGACUCUGAGAGACAGGGAGUGGAGCCAGCAGCAAUAUUUAGCAGAGUGACUGAUUUCUGGCACCAUCUAGCUUCUCUGCAACAGGAAUCUGGCAGCCUGCCAGGUUGAUCAUGUUGCUGUGAAUAUUUACCCUCUUACAACUUUCACUUGGCAUUUUUCAGGUACAGGCUAUACAGAACUAACUCUAUGCUUGCAAUUUCUCCUGUUUUGAUUAAUAUUGCCUGAAAUGUUAAAUUACCGAAACAUUUGCUAAAAUAUUAAAGUUUAAGUAUAACAUCAAUAGGUGAGCAUUACUUCAUGGCUAUUAAUGUAAGAACCAGUUACUAUACCCCAUCUACUGAUCUAAAGAACAGAUGUUUGCAUAUGAUUUAUGGACACUGAAAUAUGUGCAUAUCUUCCAUAAAUAGUAAUGUGUUCCAAUAACAAAGAGUAGAGAAUUGUGAUCCAUGAGACUGGUAAGUUGCAGGCAGUAUUAGAAUUUAUUUACCAAUUUCUUGGCUUUAAAGAAAAAGCAAAUCUCAUAGAGCCAGGGCCUGAAUCCUGUAGGCUGGAAAAGUGCUUACAAUGUCAAACAGGACUAACAACAUGAAGUAAUAAAUUGCAGUCAGGCUCAAACAGGCAGAUAUAAAAGUGCUUUUAGAACAUGAGUGUAACUAUGAUUUGUUAAAUAAGAGUAACAAUUUAUAUUGAUUAAGAUGCAAUAAAUCUAAACAGUAAGUAAAAAGCCAAUAUUACUGUGUGUACUUUCACAUUAAAUAUGGGCUUGGAAGUUUCUUUAGUAUCAAGAUUUAACAAAAUACUAAUCAGGUGAAAUUCUAAUGGGCGAAGCAUAGUUUUGAGCUUUGCAAUUAAAUUAUUUCUGGAAGCGCAAUCAAAUAUCUGAUUGAGCUAAUAUACUGCUCCUCACAUUUGUUCUGUUCCUAAAUUAGCUUGGCUAAUCAGUAUCCCACCUCAUAGCCUGUGUUGUAAACAUGUAAUAUUAGCUGAUGGGUUUCAUUUCAAGAGCACAGUCAAUUUUUGGACAGCAAAUCUAACCCAAAAAUUUAGUCAAAGCCUACAAAGCAACAUGUUUGGAGAUGUCACAGUUUCUGGGCCAUCAGAACUCUGAUAAGACUGAGUGAACUUCAGAUCACUCCGUGAUGGCUGUGCAUGUUAAACAAGUUUUGAUUUACUUUAAAAACUAGUUUUGUGGACAAUAUUUCACCUCAAAGUGUUUUCUGUUUUUCCACCCUCUUAUUCCAUGAGAAAGAACCAGGAAUGUACAAAAAAGCAGCCUUGUAGAAUGCAGAAUUUAAACAGCAAUCACAAUUUUUUGCUUCUGUCUCAGGCUGGCAUGCACUAGUGCUUCAAGAUGUUAUGCAGCUGCUCUCUUCCCCAGAGAUGGCUGUACUCCAGUAAAUGGUGAAAUACUCCCUCAAACUUUUUUUUUUCCCCAGCAGAGGUUAACAGAGAUGUUUCCAUAGGUCUAAGGCAACAUGAAAACAUGGUGAUUGUGUGGUCAGAUUUCUUUAAAAACAUUAGCCUUAGAUUUACUGCAUCAGUAAUUAGGAGCUGAUGCUACACUCCAACACACUGCAGAAACAACUGCAGGUAGUGUCUGUAGAACACAGUGAGAGUCUUAGAUUACAGUGGUUGUUAUUUGAUUCUGUUCUUGUAGUUUUUUAGAUCACAGAAGAAACAAAUACUUUUCAUUUUGUCCUCUUGAUAGCUGCACAGAUUUUUUACUUUCAGCAUAUAACUCAAAGUCAUCUAAGAACAAAUUGAAUUUCUAAUAACUACAGUCAACUGGAUUUAAUUCCUUUCAGUGGAAGCACAGCAGUGUCAAUAGUUACUGAGAUUUAGUAUUACUGCUGAUUUAUUGAAAGUAAAAUGUCAAUACAACAUGAAAAUUUGUCAUUUUAGAAAGGUUUCAUAAAAAAGAUGAACACAACACAAAAAAUUGAAAAUGUAAGAACCAAUAACUGAUCAUUCUAAUUCACUUUUUUUCCAGAUGAGCAUCCAGGUGUCAGCUGGUGUAAACCCAGAUACCACUGACGUCAAUGGAGCUGUGUCAGUUUACUCUAGCUGAGAAUCUGAUCCCAAGUGUGCUACUGCCAUUUUUAGAUGCUGCCACUGGAAUUGUGUUUUGCAAGACAAUUAAAAAAAACACAUCCACACAUUGCAUUUCUUCCUGUCCCCGAGUGUUUAACUGGAAGUCUGUUGACAGACUGUGGGAGAGGGCAAGUGGGAGGUGGAAGUAGCCAACAACUGCAUCCAUGAGAUAACUUUGCAGUAUCAGUAUGAACACUGUUCCGCUGUCUUCCUUUUAUACAAACGAAUAUUUGGCUUCAAAAAGUUUUAACUCCACCUUCCACUAACAAACAAUUCCAUGUCAGUGAAAGAAAAAUGAUGCUGUAAACCACGUGAAGUACCUACCUCAUAAAUUUGCUAACAUGGUAUUUUAAGCAGUACACAUUCUGAAUAGACAUUCUGUUUUAAUGCAACAUUAGAAAAAACACCUAAAGCUACAAGUGCCCCAAGGCUGAGUUCUGUGUGUUCACCUAAGUAUUUGUUCCUAAGCAAUCUCCCUGCUGUACGAGCAGAAAGAUUGGUAACAGUUCCAAGGCAGCUGUUUGAAGUGGCCUGCAAGCCAGACUUUGAUCUGGCUGACAUCUUUCAUAUCUCAUCGAGCAUAUGUGUGGGCAAGAAAGGAGGAAGAGAGGAAAAGGUGGGGCAAUAAGCAGGGCAGGGUAGUACUUGACAGCUCCACCAUUUCUAAGCAGCAAGAGGGAGCUUUUGCCUCUGUUUCACAUAAGGCAGUUGUUAACAUGAGUGCAUUGUAUAACAGUUUCUCAGUAUUAACCACUGCAGUGAAGUUGGAAUGUUGGUCUUGUGAUUCAACAUAGCAAGGUCAAAAUGGAAAAGGUAAUUAAUUAGAACUGAAGAUGCAGUUCACAUAGUAUUGAAAUAAUUGCCUAUUUGUGCAAGAACAACAACCAUAUCUUCAAUUUAGGUCAGGCCAUCAAGAGGAGGAAAAGGACUGAAGACUGAAGAUGAGAUGCUCUACUUCACACAGUUGCCCUCUGGAAGGACUUGCAAAGGCAGUCACUUAAAUUAAAUACAGGUCAUCAGACAAGAUAUCUAAUCUAUUCCUAAGACAGGCAGCUCCAGCAGCCCAAAUCCCUAUGGCCUUUGCAGCAACACGAUGAACUACUUCCUCAUGUACCUCUGUCAAUUCACGUUAGGUUGCAGUUUUUUUAAAGCGAUAUUUCAUGUACAUCAUGACCCUAUUGCUCAAAGCAAGGAAAGUGCUUUGGUUUAUUUAUGACCUACUAACCUUAAAUAAAUAAAAAAAUACAUCCAAUCUGAAUGCUCACAUAAGCCUGCAGAUCUAAAAUAAAAUUUAAGAUAAAGCUGGCAUUUGUAACAGCUAGCUAAGCCCAAAAAGGGAUUUAAAAAAAAAAUGAAAACCAGAUGAAAAGAUGAAAGCAUAUUUACCCUGCAUAACCUGCACACAUCAGGAAUCAGGGCUGGAACCCAGAAAUACCUUUCCUACUUAGAAGUUUCAGCCCAUUUCCCAGGCUAGGUGACCAAGGAAAUACCAAUGUUUCCCAUGAUGGGGGUGGGGAGGCAUUAGUAACAACCUGUGAAAGUAAUUCCUUCGAAGAUGUAAUCCACCCGGCCACAAACUCUACACAGCUCCUCUCCUUCCCCUGCACCCCAUCCCCAUUUCCAGAUAUCAGCCAGGCAAGCCCCCAUACUGAAAUAUGAAGUGACAGAUGGAAGCAGGGAAGAAGGGCAUAGGAAUGAGUACUGAAAGAAAUGGUGUACAGAAAACAAGCUAAUAAUAGGGCAGAUCUUAAACAUGAGCAACCUAAGCUGUAAAGUUAAUUCAUUUGGCUAGACCAAUGUUGAAAAGAUGCACAUAAGACUGAGUUGGAGAGUCUUAUUCUCUCAUCACUCAUGCCAGUGUGCAGAGGUCUUCUCCUAACAUCCAUGGAAUUAAACCUUGGAAACUUCAGUACAACUAAAUGGAGAAAUAAAAAUAAUCACAGCUAAAGUAUUGGCAGCAAAUGUCCUGCGCUGCUGUACUGGGAAAGAAAGGUGGGCUGCCACAUUUAAUUAAAAUGUAUUUGGUUUAGCUGUAUUCAUAAUCAAAACCAGAACACAUCUAAUCCACCUUAAUAGUUGAUUCUCUUCUUGUCUACUUUUCCAGUAGGCUAUAUUUUAAAGAUUUUUCUUUUAGUUGUAUUAGAUGGAAAAUACAGUUGAGUUAAAUGAUGCAAUAAAUACCUCUACAGAAAACAACUAGUUGAAAGAAACAGUUAGGACCAAGUCCUUGUCAUAGUGUUUGUUUACAAAAUAGGCUCAAGCAGCACACUGAUGAUCUUUAGUGUGGGUUCCCUUUACACAAGUACAGACAAACCCCCAAACAUUUUUAAAGCCUUAUAAAUAACAAUGGAUGGAACAGAGAGAGCAGAGGGCAUCUUUAACCAAAGGAUAAGGUAAACAAACACCAAUGCACGUAAGUCAAUGAAUCAGUCACGUAAUUUCAGCACGCUAAAGAGUGGACUUAGCAGAAAAGAAUUCUAACAAGCUGAGCUUCAAGAACACCUGCAUCAGAACUCUGCUCGCAAAUGAAAAUAAGGUAAAAUGUCUGGAUUGUAAUGUUUUGUCUCUAAAACUCUUCUGCAACACAAAACCUACAACCUUAAUUUUUAAGUAUUUUUAUUAAUAGUUGGAACAAUUGAGUUGGAAAGCUCAGAAGAUGAGGAAAAAGUGCUGUGUUACUGUGGAAAUUUUUAAGAAUAAGGAUCACUGUGUUGUGAUCAGCUGGAUGUGCAGAACAUGCUGACACAAAAAAAAAUUUAAAAUAAAUAUAGGUCAAGCCUUGAUAUAUAGUCACCUUUUUUCCUCCUGAAAACUAUCACAACAGGUUCUGCAUGUGUGAAAAUUUGCAAGGAAAAAAGGGCUGUCUCUGAGAUGUUUUUUGAAAAAUUAAGCCUUCUUUAAAGAAAAUUUAUUUUUCAUCAAUCCUAAACAAGUUUUAAUCCAAUUGAACCAUGUCAAUAGAAGAAAUUUUCCUCAAUUGAGCAAUCUCUAAUUGGCAACACUAAUUUGUACAACUCUUAGCCAGCUUCGUUCAUUUAUGGGAUCUCCUGUUUUGUUUUACUGUGAAGUUCAGUCUUGUGAGAUAACAAACAACAUGAAUCCACUCGUGCCUGGAUCUCUAACCUUUAUUUUUAAAGCCUGAGUAACAGAAACAUAUUUUCUUUUCAUAGAAAGAAGCCUGGGAAACUGCCAGCUCCUUGCAGAAACACUGAAACAUGAUCAGCAGAGAAGGGUGUUGGUUUCGGUCUUGUGUUGGCUGAAACACAUGGAAAAACUGGCUUCAAGGAGGAAAAUGCAACCCAGCAUAUGUAUAUUUCUGAGUAUUAUAAAACAUGAGGCCGAACAAGGGGUUUCUGUGUCCCUUCCUGUGCCACAGGUAGAGGUUUGCAGGGGUGUCACACUCAGCUGCCAGCAGGUGUUGCACUGGCAGCCAUGUAAAGCCCCUAUUCACUGAACUCUGUCACUGCAGUUAUGUGCUCUUUAUGGCAAGGAAAACACAGAAAACAAAGAGCCUGUUAUGCUUUAACUUCAAAGCCUCCUACCCCAAGCUUCAGCUCUAUACCUCAGGCAGUGCAGCCCAGAAGAGAGGCAGCAUAGUGUCAGGUAAAGAUAUUUUUCUGCUCUAAUAACCUAACCUCUGUAGUACUUCUAAGAUAUUUGGAGGGUUUUUUUAAUCUUAAAUAUAAGUAUAGUAAUAGCAGAAGGUCAUCUGACAUUUGUCAUUUGACUGACAAGUAAAUUUUACUCUGAAGCUUUCCAAGUUCACAGGAAGGUUUUGUCUGAAAGGUCAUAGAGGAACCUUAAUUUUACCCACAAGUGCUGCAAGAAUCUUGCUGCACAAGAACUUAGGAGAUAGUGAUCUUCCCAGGUUACAGUUAUCAUUCUCCAGUUGCACCAAUUUCCUCCCCAUCAGGGGUAGAGCUUUUAUGAAAUCCCUAAAGCCUGUGUGCAAUAUUUAUUCUGUUAGUCUAAUUAAAGGUAUUACUAUGUACAUAGUUACUGAAGCUGUCCCCAGUGGUGCUUCACAUCAUAAAUAACAGAUGUGAAAUGUUCUCCUACUGGGACAAGCACUAGUAUCAAUUCUUAUGCUAUCUCUUUAACCAUUACAUCACCUCACUAUUUCUUAGGAUUUUUCUUAAAAUGAGAGAAAACAGUACCAUGAAAAUAAUAUUAGUUUGGGACAAUUAAAUUCACUAGAUCUUCACAGGCCCAUAUAAAGACAUAAGCAUUUUGAUAAUGUAAAAUGAAAUAGUUUUACAACACAAAUGAGCAAUACCAAAUUGCUGAUGUUUAAUUGCACCUGUCCUGCUCCCCCUGCUCCCUGGAUAUUAGUGAUCUAGCACAUAAAAUCUUUGCUAGUUUACUCUCAAAAUUAGCUUUCCUACUCCUAGCAUUGCAAUAGGAACUGAGAGUUAGAAGGACCAAAAAUGUCAAUACACUUUGCUUGUACAACUACCAGGUUUUCUUCCCCUCCUUGUGGGUAUUUUUCAAAUUUGAAGGAGUUGACUGUUUUGAAGGAAAAUAAUGUCUGAGAAAUGCAUUGUGAAUUCUGGCAAAUCAGUAUUCGUUCUUUUGUAGCCAGACCAAGAUAAAAGGCCUUAAAAUUUUCAUUGCUCUAUUUAUUUAUUGAAAUGUUUUGUCUCUGGGUGGAGUCUUUGAGGAUGAACAUCCCAUUCCUGCCAACAUGCUCAGACAGCCAUGUCCAUGCAGAGCUGCUGAUCCCAUGUCACACCAGGCAGUUGCCUGCACUGCCAUAUCAAAACAAAUAGUCAAUUUUUUGUUCUCCACUUUGGUUAAUCAAGAUUUCUCAUUUCUUCUGUUUUAAGAAACCUUCACAAGUUAUACUUAUGCUGCAGGAACUCUUCACUGUGUGAUGUUUUUAUAUGCACAAGAGGAUGGGCCUCAUCCAGAAGGUUUUAGACAACAAGUCACAGCAGUACCUGGCUAAAUUCUUUCAUCCUUUUGAACUACUUUGAAGUUGCUUUGUCCUAAGACAGCUAUAGUCAGACUGCUUUUGCUUUCUGCCUCAAAACGUAGCAAAAACAUAGAAACAAAUGAACAAUAAAGGCAUUUGUGAUUUUCUUAAAAGCAGCAAAACUGUUUUCCGGGAGUUAAUUUUUUUCAUCUCAGUUCUCUUUUCUUUGAGCCAACUUCUUUUUUUCCCAGACUGUUAGAGUUCAUAAAAAAAUCUUCUGGCUUCUAGCAAACUUAUGUUCUACUUUCAUCUAGAAAGGCAUAAAUGUGUUGAGCCAAAACCACAGUAUUCACCACUAUUUGAAACAAUCUGUGUAGGUUUUUUACAUCCCUGUUUGCAGCGUCCUGUGCAAAACUCAGUCCAUAACCACAGCACUAACCUCUCCAACUGUCCCCACACGUUGUGCUCUGGGUAAACACUCAGAUAAAUAGCAGCAGUCUGUGGAGGGGUUUUUAUCACUGGGAUCAAAAUAGCUCCCUCAACUUGUAUGUGUGAAUAUUGCCUUUAUCAUAUAA
This is an RNA transcript of Passer domesticus (house sparrow), 8258 nucleotides long. RefSeq lists it as uncharacterized. The transcript has 6 exons. The record is from RefSeq and is a predicted model, not a curated record. NCBI's taxonomy places the organism in Eukaryota, Metazoa, Chordata, Aves, Passeriformes, Passeridae.